UACGGGGGGAGCAAGCGUUGUUCGGAUUUACUGGGCGUAAAGGGCGCGUAGGCGGUCAGCACAAGUCAGUUGUGAAAUCUCCGGGCUUAACUCGGAAAGGUCAACUGAUACUGUGCGACUAGAGUGCAGAAGGGGCAACUGGAAUUCUCGGUGUAGCGGUGAAAUGCGUAGAUAUCGAGAGGAACACCUGCGGCGAAGGCGGGUUGCUGGGCCGGCACUGACGCUGAUGCGCGAAAGCCAGGGGAGCGAACGGG
RNAcentral lists this ribosomal RNA (254 nucleotides) under uncultured bacterium. Its description in RNAcentral is "partial 16S ribosomal RNA". It matches the Rfam family "Bacterial small subunit ribosomal RNA", at positions 524 to 776 of the family's 1533-position model. The record is from RNAcentral.